CAGUCGCCGCGGGAAUACAGAGGGUGCAAGCGUUAAUCGGAAUUACUGGGCGUAAAGCGCGCGUAGGUGGUUUGUUAAGUUGGAUGUGAAAUCCCCGGGCUCAACCUGGGAACUGCAUCCAAAACUGGCAAGCUAGAGUAUGGUAGAGGGUGGUGGAAUUUCCUGUGUAGCGGUGAAAUGCGUAGAUAUAGGAAGGAACACCAGUGGCGAAGGCGACCACCUGGACUGAUACUGACACUGAGGUGCAAAAGCGUGGGGAGCAAACAGGAUUAGAUACCCGCGUAGUCCCUGUCUCUUAUAA
This 301-nucleotide ribosomal RNA is filed under the name uncultured bacterium. Its description in RNAcentral is "partial 16S ribosomal RNA". It matches the Rfam family "Bacterial small subunit ribosomal RNA", at positions 509 to 809 of the family's 1533-position model. The record is from RNAcentral.